CAUAUCAUUAUUCUAGUAAUUACUAAAAUGAAUAUUAUUAAUAUAAAUAGCUAAGUAUCUAUGAAGUUUGCUUUUGGGCCAUAUACUUCAUAAUUUCAUGACUUCUGAUAUUGAACAUGGAUCUACAGAUUAUUUAAAGUAUAUAUUGUUCUAGAUUCUGUUUAGCCUUUUAAAAUUUGUCUGAAGUAUUUAACUGACAAAUCUAAUGGUUCAGUUAAGUAUGAUGUACUUUCCAGAAGAC
Long non-coding RNA from Hibiscus syriacus, 241 nucleotides. RefSeq lists it as uncharacterized. Lineage: Eukaryota; Viridiplantae; Streptophyta; Magnoliopsida; Malvales; Malvaceae. The transcript has 2 exons. The record is from RefSeq and is a predicted model, not a curated record.